AAACCAUGAUGAGGACACUCUAAGAAAGGGUCUUGGAAACAUUCCAUACAUCUAGAAAAUGAUUCAUUGGGUCUUUGGUGAAACUGAAAAAUGUCAUUCCUAAGCUU
Cephalotus follicularis is the source of this 107-nucleotide small nucleolar RNA. It matches the Rfam family "Plant small nucleolar RNA R71". Rfam says of the family: R71 is a member of the C/D box family of snoRNAs containing the C (UGAUGA) and D (CUGA) box motifs. Multiple nearly identical copies of this snoRNA have been identified in Arabidopsis, and it is thought to function as a 2'-O-ribose methylation guide for 18S ribosomal RNA. Lineage: Eukaryota; Viridiplantae; Streptophyta; Magnoliopsida; Oxalidales; Cephalotaceae. The record is from Rfam.